Molecule: ribosomal RNA, 443 nt
Filed under: uncultured bacterium
Lineage: Bacteria
Description: partial 16S ribosomal RNA
Rfam family: Bacterial small subunit ribosomal RNA
Source: RNAcentral
CCUACGGGAGGCAGCAGUGGGGAAUAUUGGGCAAUGGGCGCAAGCCUGACCCAGCAACGCCGCGUGAAGGAAGAAGGCUUUCGGGUUGUAAACUUCUUUUCUCAGGGACGAAGCAAGUGACGGUACCUGAGGAAUAAGCCACGGCUAACUACGCGCCAGCAGCCGCGGUAAUACGUAGGUGGCAAGCGUUAUCCGGAUUUACUGGGUGUAAAGGGCGUGUAGGCGGGAAAGCAAGUCAGAUGUGAAAACCAUGGGCUCAACCUGUGGCCUGCAUUUGAAACUGUUUUUCUUGAGUACUGGAGAGGCAGGUGGAAUUCCUAGUGUAGCGGUGAAAUGCGUAGAUAUUAGGAGGAACACCAGUGGCGAAGGCGGUCUGCUGGACCGCAACUGACGCUGAGGCGCGAAAGCGUGGGGAGCAAACAGGAUUAGAUACCCCAGUAGUC